AUCAGCAUGUGUCAGGUCCCAGAGAUGAAGCAGAAGUGGAGAGCAGCUCUAAGCAUGUGUCAACUCCCCAGGAUCCUUCAGAGAAUGAGGCUAGGUCAGCGAAUGAGUUUGAGUCCAAAAGUCAAAGCAACAAUCUUUCAAACAAAAUGGUUGACACUGGGAAAGGACACAUAGACUUAAAUUGUGAUCCUGAUCGUGAAGAAGAAUCACAAGUGGGGUUAAACCAUAUGAGCAUGAUGAGUCUUCUUCAAGUAGCAAGCCUUCCAUUGGACACAUAUCUGAAGCAGAACGGUCUUACAAGGUUGGUAUCUGAGCGACAAGGAAGUUCAGCAUCACAUGUGCCACCUCAACCGGGAGAGAGUGAAGGACAACUUCCUGAGGAUUGUCAAUUUGGUACAGUUGUCCAAGAGCAGGAGAAGCAGGAGAGUGCAGGUGAAGAGAACUAUGGACCUGGACCAAAGCAAAGCCAAAAUGACCCUGUAUGAGGUUUUAUUUUGUCUUCUUUUCGUUGUUUUUGUACAAUUACAAGUUUCUGGGUCUUCUUCCAGUGGGAUGGGCAACAUUUUUGUUUCUUUUUAGUUUGAGG
RNAcentral lists this unclassified non-coding RNA (586 nucleotides) under Hevea brasiliensis (rubber tree). Lineage: Eukaryota; Viridiplantae; Streptophyta; Magnoliopsida; Malpighiales; Euphorbiaceae. The record is from RNAcentral.